This 223-nucleotide unclassified non-coding RNA is filed under the name Drosophila pseudoobscura pseudoobscura. RNAcentral describes it as "GA22746". The record is from RNAcentral. Lineage: Eukaryota; Metazoa; Arthropoda; Insecta; Diptera; Drosophilidae.
AGCCACCAGCAGCAGUUAGAGCGGGAGCGGUAGCGGUAGCAAAAGAACCGCAAGCAAGCAGCAAAAAAAAAGCACAGCGUAAGUUCUGAUUGAGAGAGCGCGGCAAGGCAAGGCAAGGUGUAUUUCCCAAGAAGGUGAAAACCACACGCAUAACCAAUACCUACAGCAAAUCGGGAACUGGCAAGGUCAGCAGCAGCGCCUCCUCAGCACCAGUUACACGCAC